GGGCCCGCACAAGCGGAGGAACAUGUGGUUUAAUUCGAUGAUACGCGAGGAACCUUACCCGGGCUUGAAAUGCGGCGGACCGGCAGAGAGAUCUGCCUUCCCUUCGGGGCCGCCGUGUAGGUGCUGCAUGGUUGUCGUCAGCUCGUGCCGUGAGGUGUCGGCUUAAGUGCCAUAACGAGCGCAACCCUCAUCAUUAGUUACUAACAGGUCAUGCUGAGGACUCUAGUGAGACUGCCAUCGUAAGAUGCGAGGAAGGUGGGGAUGACGUCAAAUCAGCACGGCCCUUACGUCCGGGGCGACACACGUGUUACAAUGGGUGGUACAAAGGGCAGCUACCUGGCGACAGGAUGCUAAUCUCCAAAACCACUCUCAGUUCGGAUCGGAGUCUGCAACUCGACUCCGUGAAGCUGGAUUCGCUAGUAAUCGCGCAUCAGCCACGGCGCGGUGAAUACGUUCCCGGGCCUU
This 465-nucleotide ribosomal RNA is filed under the name uncultured bacterium. RNAcentral describes it as "bacterial SSU rRNA". It matches the Rfam family "Bacterial small subunit ribosomal RNA", at positions 917 to 1382 of the family's 1533-position model. The record is from RNAcentral.